RNAcentral lists this ribosomal RNA (253 nucleotides) under uncultured bacterium. RNAcentral's name for it is "partial 16S ribosomal RNA". It matches the Rfam family "Bacterial small subunit ribosomal RNA", at positions 524 to 776 of the family's 1533-position model. The record is from RNAcentral.
UACAGAGGGUGCGAGCGUUGUCCGGAAUCACUGGGCGUAAAGGGCGCGUAGGCGGUUCGUACAGUCAGACGUGAAAUUCCUGGGCUCAACCUGGGGGCUGCGUUUGAUACGUGCGGACUUGAGUGCGGAAGAGGGUCGUGGAAUUCCCAGUGUAGAGGUGAAAUUCGUAGAUAUUGGGAAGAACACCGGUGGCGAAGGCGGCGACCUGGUCCGAUACUGACGCUGAGGCGCGAAAGCGUGGGGAGCAAACAGG